This 323-nucleotide ribosomal RNA is filed under the name uncultured eukaryote. RNAcentral's name for it is "partial 18S ribosomal RNA". It matches the Rfam family "Eukaryotic small subunit ribosomal RNA", at positions 1470 to 1796 of the family's 1831-position model. The record is from RNAcentral.
CCCUUAGAUGUUCUGGGCUGCACGCGUGCUACACUGAUAUUGCCAAUAUGUCAUUCUUAUCCGAAAUGGAUUGGGUAAUCAAGUAAUGAAAUUUCAUGCUUGGAAUCGGUAAUUGCAAUUUUAUCGUGAACGAGGAAUUCCUAGUAAGCACUAGUCAUCAGCUAAUGUUGAUUAUGUCCCUGCCCUUUGUACACACCGCCCGUCGCUACUACUGAUUGGGUGUUCAGGUGAGAUGCUUAGACCCUUGUUGCAUGGUUCAUUAUUGUGCUCCGAAAGGAAAAAGUUUCAAGCUUGAGUGUCUAGAGGAAGUAAAAGUCGUAACA